Molecule: ribosomal RNA, 766 nt
Filed under: Argiope savignyi
Lineage: Eukaryota; Metazoa; Arthropoda; Arachnida; Araneae; Araneidae
Description: eukaryotic LSU rRNA
Rfam family: Eukaryotic large subunit ribosomal RNA
Source: RNAcentral
UGAGUAACGGCGAGCGAAAGGGAGAGCCCAGCGCCGAAGCCCGCUCUCGAGAGGGAGCCGGGCAAUGUGGCGUUUAGGAGUGAGCGUGCCGGAGGUCGACUCUGCAGCAAGUCCCCCUGACCGGGGCUGUUACCCAGAGUGGGUGCGAGGCCCAUAGCUGCUAGGUCGCCGCCGGAUGCGAUCUCCUUGGAGUCGGGUUGCUUGGGAGUGCAGCCCUAAUCGGGUGGUAAACUCCACCUAAGGCUAAAUACGGCCGUGAGACCGAUAGCAAACAAGUACCGUGAGGGAAAGUUGCAAAGAACUUUGAAGAGAGAGUUCAAGAGUACGUGAAACUGCUCAGAGGCAAACGGGUGGGCCCUCGAAAUCCUGUGGCGGGAGGAUUCAGUCUCGCGGGGCGGACGUGCGAUCGGAGAUUCCCAGAACGGUUCCGCGGAGGCGGCCGCUCCGAAUGCACGCUUUCGCUUCGCAGGACGCAUUUGUUUCCCGUCCGAAGGACCCCGCAACCGGUUCGGAAACGGCCUUAAGGGCGAGCGAUGGCAGUUGGCCGGUGGCUUACUUACGUGGGUCGCCGGUUGUUAGCCGGUUCUCGUCGCACGGCUCGUGGCCGGACCGAGGUGUCSCGAGGCCUCUUUAGGCUUUUUCGCCUCCUCCGUUAGCGGACGCCGGGAUCCAGCGGCAGGGGUUAGCACUUCUGCGGGCGCACGGACAGUCUCCGUGGCCCAGCGGUCGCGGUGCGUCCUCGUUGGCUGCGGUGAACCCGUCGGAG